UACGAAGGGGGCUAGCGUUGCUCGGAAUCACUGGGCGUAAAGCGCACGUAGGCGGCUUUCUAAGUCAGGGGUGAAAUCCUGGAGCUCAACUCCAGAACUGCCUUUGAUACUGGAGAGCUCGAGUCCGGAAGAGGUGAGUGGAACUCCGAGUGUAGAGGUGAAAUUCGUAGAUAUUCGCAAGAACACCAGUGGCGAAGGCGGCUCACUGGCCCGGUACUGACGCUGAGGCACGAAAGCGUGGGGAGCAAACAGG
RNAcentral lists this ribosomal RNA (253 nucleotides) under uncultured bacterium. Its description in RNAcentral is "partial 16S ribosomal RNA". It matches the Rfam family "Bacterial small subunit ribosomal RNA", at positions 524 to 776 of the family's 1533-position model. The record is from RNAcentral.